AUUGAACGCUGGCGGCAGGCCUAACACAUGCAAGUCGAACGAGUGGCGGACGGGUGAGUAAUGUCUGGGAAACUGCCCGAUGGAGGGGGAUAACUAAUGGAAACGGUAGCUAAUACCGCAUACCAUCGGAUGUGCCCAGAUGGGAUUAGCUAGUAGGUGGGGUAACGGCUCACCUAGGCGACGAUCCCUAGCUGGUCUGAGAGGAGGACCAGCCACACUGGACCUUAGACACGUUCCGGACUCCUACGUGAGGCAGGAGUGGGGAAGAUUGCACAAGGGGCGCAAGCCUGAUGCAGCCAUGCCGCGUGUAUGAAGAAGGCCGUCAGGUUGUAAAGUACUUUCAGCGGGGAGGCGUUACCCGCAGAAGAAGCACCGGCUAACUCCGUGCCAGGAGCCGCGGUAAUUC
RNAcentral lists this ribosomal RNA (406 nucleotides) under uncultured bacterium. RNAcentral's name for it is "partial 16S ribosomal RNA". It matches the Rfam family "Bacterial small subunit ribosomal RNA", at positions 30 to 526 of the family's 1533-position model. The record is from RNAcentral.